RNAcentral lists this ribosomal RNA (442 nucleotides) under uncultured bacterium. Its description in RNAcentral is "SSU rRNA". It matches the Rfam family "Bacterial small subunit ribosomal RNA", at positions 26 to 518 of the family's 1533-position model. The record is from RNAcentral.
AGAGCGAACGCUGGCGGCAGGCCUAACACAUGCAAGUCGAACGCCCAGCAAUGGGAGUGGCAGACGGGAUAGUAACACGUGGGAACGCGCCCUUCGGUUCGGAAUAACUCAGGGAAACUUGAGCUAAAUACCGGAUACGCCCUUACGGGGAAAGAUUUAUUGCCGAAGGAACGGCCCGCGUCGGAUUAGCUAGUUGGUGAGGUAAUGGCUCACCAAGGCGACGAUCCGUAGCUGGUCUGAGAGGAUGACCAGCAUCACUGGGACUGAGACACGGCCCAGACUCCUACGGGAGGCAGCAGUGGGGAAUAUUGGACAAUGGGCGCAAGCCUGAUCCAGCCAUGCCGCGUGGAUGAUGAAGGCCCUAGGGUUGUAAAGUCCUUUAACGGGAAGAUAAUGACGGUACCCGUAGAAUAAGCCCGGCUAACUUCGCGCCAGCAGCCGC